GUCUACGGCCAUGCCACCCUGAACAAGCCCAAUCCCAUCUGAUCUUGGAAGCUAAGCAGGGUCAGGCCUGGUUAGUACUUGGAUGGGAGACCACCUAGGAAGACCAGGUGCUGUAGGCA
This 119-nucleotide ribosomal RNA is filed under the name Pteropus alecto (black flying fox). RNAcentral also lists the same sequence under 1 other name. The record is from RNAcentral. Lineage: Eukaryota; Metazoa; Chordata; Mammalia; Chiroptera; Pteropodidae.